RNAcentral lists this ribosomal RNA (95 nucleotides) under uncultured bacterium. RNAcentral's name for it is "partial 16S ribosomal RNA". The record is from RNAcentral.
CGUGAAGGAUGAAAUCUUUCGGGAUGUUAAACUCUUUUUUCAAGCCAUGAAACAAAUGACAGUAGCUGAGGAAUAAGCCCCGGCUAACUACGUGC